GCGGAGGAAAAGAAACCAACAGGGAUUGCCUUAGUAACGGCGAGUGAAGCGGCAACAGCUCAAAUUUGAAAGCUGGCCCUCUCAGGGUCCGCGUUGUAAUUUGUAGAGGAUGAUUCGGCGAGGGCUCCCGCCUAAGUCCCCUGGAACGGGGCGUCAUAGAGGGUGAGAAUCCCGUAUGCGGUGGGCUGCCUUAGCCAUGUGAAUCUCCUUCGACGAGUCGAGUUGUUUGGGAAUGCAGCUCUAAAUUGGAGGUAAAUUUCUUCUAAAGCUAAAUACUGGCCAGAGACCGAUAGCGCACAAGUAGAGUGAUCGAAAGAUGAAAAGCACUUUGGAAAGAGAGUUAAAAAGCACGUGAAAUUGUUGAAAGGGAAGCGCUUGCAACCAGACUUGUCCGCAGUUGCUCAGCCGGUCUCCUGACCGGCGUACUCUUCUGCGGCCAGGCCAGCAUCAGUUCGGGCGGUCGGAUAAAGACCUCGGGAAUGUGGCUCCUCUCGGGGAGUGUUAUAGCCCGGGGUGGAAUGCGGCCAGCCUGGACUGAGGAACUCGCUUCGGCAAGGAUGCUGGCGUAAUGGUUGUAAGCGGCCCGUCUUGAAACACGGACCAAGGAGUCUAACAUCUAUGCGAGUGUUUGGGUGUCAAACCCAUACGCGUAAUGAAAGUGAACGGAGGUGGGAACCCGCAAGGGCGCACCAUCGGCCGAUCCUGAUGUCUUCGGAUGGAUUUGAGCAAGAGCAUAGCUGUUGGGACCCGAAAGAUGGUGAACUAUGCCUGAAUAGGGUGAAGCCAGAGGAAACUCUGGUGGAGGCUCGCAGCGGUUCUGACGUGCAAAUCGAUCGUCAAAUUUGGGUAUAGGGGCGAAAGACUAAUCGAACCAUCUAGUAGCUGGUUCCUGCC
This 894-nucleotide ribosomal RNA is filed under the name Alanphillipsia euphorbiae. RNAcentral describes it as "eukaryotic LSU rRNA". It matches the Rfam family "Eukaryotic large subunit ribosomal RNA", at positions 50 to 962 of the family's 3401-position model. The record is from RNAcentral. Lineage: Eukaryota; Fungi; Ascomycota; Dothideomycetes; Botryosphaeriales; Botryosphaeriaceae.